Molecule: non-coding RNA, 517 nt
Organism: Anguilla anguilla (European eel)
Lineage: Eukaryota; Metazoa; Chordata; Actinopteri; Anguilliformes; Anguillidae
Source: the annotation of a RefSeq genome assembly
AUGGACAGCAGCCGCUGGCCAGAGUGGCCAGAUAAAAGGGUCACUGCCCAGAGGCUGGGGAUCUCCCUCUGCAGUGUGUACAACAGACAGGUUUUUGUACAGCCGGUUAAUCAGACUGAAUCACUGUGGUGGACUUUCGGUGGCGGGACCAAACUGGAAGUCGGCAGUGACACAGUCCCCGCCCUCACAGUCCUGCCCCCCUCCCGGGAGGAGCUGAGUCAGCAGGGAAAGGCCACACUGGUGUGUCUGGCCAACCGGGGCUUCCCCUCGGACUGGGCCCUGCGCUGGAAGGUGGACGGUGCCGACGUCAGCUCGGGCGUGGCCGGGAGCGCGGGGGUCCUGGGGCAGGACGGCCUGUACAGCUGGAGCAGCUCCCUGACCCUCAGCGCGGACGCCUGGAAGAAGGCGGAGUCGCUGACCUGCGAGGCCACACAGGGGUCCCAGUCCACCCCCUCUCAGACGCUGAGGAGGGACCAGUGUUCUGAGUAGGCCUGGGGGGGGGCAGCUCACACCCUCU